ACUUAAAGUCAUCUACAGAAAACAGGUCUCUGCCAAGGUUCUCAACCAUCCAUUGCCUUGCUAGCUUCUGGCUAUGGUAUUCUCCUAAGGAUAUAACUUCUUUUCUUCAUAGCCCCUUUUAACAGUUCUUAACAGCUUGUGUCUUUGUGUGUAUUGUAGACAAUAGUCUACAAUUACAGUAUCACAUAGUAUCUUUCCAACUGAAUUUCCAUUUCAUUCCCAUUCAACACAUUGAAAGCAGCUAAUCUUAUAGAUAGUGUUUGCUUAUUUUUGCUAAGUCAUUCACCCUUUUUCUUUUAUUCUGUGGUAAAUAAGUCAUGAUUAAAUAUAAGAUUUAAAAUCUUGUUUCUAAAAACAUUUCUCAUGUUUUAGCAGCUGCCAUAUCAAUAUGCUUGGUAGAUUUGCAUUGAGUAUGUAUUGUUUCUCUUUACAAAUGGAAAGCAGGAACAGAACAAGUGUCAAAGAGAAAUAGAAGAAUGGUGGCAAAAAGAACAAUAAGGUAUGAGAUGAAAUGUUUUGAAUGCUCAUUAAGCUGCUUUCUCUUUAGAAAAUGUUUCAAAGGUGGUGAAAGAUGUUGCUCACUACCAACGGUGAUGAGAGAAUCUACCAUUUUGAUAGAAAAACCUUGGGCAAGGUUCUGACAAAAGUGAAAUAUUGGUAUAGUACAGAGGUUGGUUAUCAGUAGUUAUAAAGAAAUUAUCAUCAUGAAUGAGUAAAAGGUUUUUGGUACUUCAUGAGGAGCAGUUGAGCAUGUUAGUACCUGGGAAACUGAUACCCUGGCCCUGAGGAUCAAGGAAGACCAGACAUGACUUUUGUGGAGGUGAAGUGUUUCUCCCAUUCCCUUCCCAACAUGAAGAGGAAGGGGAGGCUUUCCUCUGUUAUGCCUUCUGAUUUAUGGCAAACAUGUUGCUUUGCAUCACCUAUUAAAUUAGAAGAUCUUUCAGGCAAGGACUGAAUAUUCAUAUUUCCCCUGUUACUGUAAGAGGGAAAGCUCAGACAUUGCUGGA
Molecule: long non-coding RNA, 1007 nt
Filed under: Junco hyemalis (dark-eyed junco)
Lineage: Eukaryota; Metazoa; Chordata; Aves; Passeriformes; Passerellidae
Description: lncRNA (ENSJHYG00000004181.1)
Source: RNAcentral